Molecule: long non-coding RNA, 516 nt
Organism: Thunnus maccoyii (southern bluefin tuna)
Lineage: Eukaryota; Metazoa; Chordata; Actinopteri; Scombriformes; Scombridae
Exons: 2
Source: RefSeq, a predicted model, not a curated record
AGCAGCUUUUAGCCCCACCUGUGGUUCAGGUAAGGACCAGGUGGGGCAAAUUGUGUCAUGUACAGCUCAGCACUCUUUUCUCCCUCAGCGCACCUAAAGGCGUACCGUGGAGGAAUCACGGGUGAAGAGGAAGAGAGAGGAAAGGCCCAGAGAUUGCCCCACCAUUGCAACCAGGAGCCACAGGCAGAGUAACACUCGGCCGCAGGACAAGAGGAGCCAAGAGACCAACAGACCACCGACAGCGUCGCAGCUGCAGCUUUCGUGUUGGAAUGUGGCUGGCCAAGCUCCUGUCAUCUCAGUGGAGCCCUGCACUGCUACUGUGCGCCAAGAGGAGUCUGUCAGCUUCAGGUGCCAAGUGAAGGGUGGUACACGGCCAAAGCUGGAAUGGAGGAGUCAAACAUGAGCUUGUCUUCACAACUUGGUGUUUCACUAGUGGCAAAGACAGAAACUCUUUUAACUCCAUUAUGCAGACAGAAACUGUCUUUUAUUAAAAAAUAAAAUCAUAGUGCUAGAUUA